This 483-nucleotide ribosomal RNA is filed under the name uncultured bacterium. RNAcentral describes it as "partial 16S ribosomal RNA". It matches the Rfam family "Bacterial small subunit ribosomal RNA", at positions 28 to 507 of the family's 1533-position model. The record is from RNAcentral.
GACGAACGCUGGCGGCGUGCUUAACACAUGCAAGUCGAACGCUGAAGCUCAGCUUUUGUUGGGUGGAUGAGUGGCGAACGGGUGAGUAACACGUGAGUAACCUGCCUCCUUCUUUGGGAUAACGCCCGCAAACGGGUGCUAAUACUGGAUAUUCACUGGUCUUCGCAUGGGGGUUGGUGGAAAGGGUUUUUCUGGUGGGGGAUGGUGACGCGGCCUAUCAGCUUGUUGUUGGGGUGAUUGCCUACCAAGGCUUGGACGGGUAGCCGGACUGAGAGGGUGACCGGUAACAUUGGGACGGAGAUACGGCCACGAGAGGUACGAGAGGCGGAAGUGGGGAAUAUUGCGAAAGGGGGGCAAGGCUGAGGCAGCGGCGCGGCGUGAGGGAUGGGGGCCUUCGGGUUGUGAACCUGUUUCGAUAAGGGUGAGGCCGAAACAAUGGUUGUGGUGAGGGUAGUGGGUAAAGAAGCGCCGGCUAACUACGUG